RNAcentral lists this long non-coding RNA (6299 nucleotides) under Triticum aestivum (bread wheat). RNAcentral's name for it is "long non-coding RNA (TAES_LNC022973)". Lineage: Eukaryota; Viridiplantae; Streptophyta; Magnoliopsida; Poales; Poaceae. The record is from RNAcentral.
UCUCAUGUCUAUCUCUGUCGCCUCACUGGCGAUUCUUGUGUCGUUGCUUCGCCGCAAAUCGGCACCAAGCUCCAAGAGGAGGCGGCCUCCUGGUCCACGGUGUCUCCCCUUCAUCGGAAGCCUCCUCCACCUCCUUACCUCGGAGCCGCAGGUCGCUCUCCGGGACCUGGCGAAGAAGCACGGGCCGGUGAUGUACCUGCGGCUGGGCCACGUCGACACCGUCGUGAUCUCCUCCCCGGCGGCGGCACAGGAGGUGCUCCGGGACAACAGCCUCACGUUCGCGUCGCGGCCGAGCCUUCUGGUCACGGAGAUCCUAUGCUACGGGAACACUGACAUCGCCUUUGCGCCAUACGGCGCGUACUGGAGGACACUGCGAAAGAUCUGCAUGGUGGAGCUCCUGAGCGCGCGGAAGGUAAGGCAGUUCGCACCCAUCAGGGAUACUGAAAUCCUAUCCCUCGUUAGGAAUGUCCGCGCUGCCGCCAGAGGCGGCGAGCCAGUAAAUCUCGGCGGACUGCUCGUGUCUUGCUCGAACACGAUCAGCGCAAAGGCGACGUUCGGUGAGGGAUGCGACGCCGACCUCCAGGAGCAGUUCUUGUCUGCGAUCGGCGUGGCACUGGAGUACAGCGGGGGGUUCGGCGUCGGAGACCUCUUCCCGUCGCUGUGGUUCGUGGAUGUCGUCACUGGGGUGAGACGCCGGCUCUGGCGAGCGCACAGGGUCCUCGACGCCGUCUUUGAGAAGAUCAUCACUAGGUGCCAGGCGCGGCGGGAGGAGAAGAAGUCAACGGCGAUGACCUUCUGAGCGUCAUGCUCAGGAUCAAGGACGAGGAUGGCCUUGAGUUCCCCAUCAGCACCACAAACAUCAAGGCAAUCAUAGUGGUAACGUGUUUUUCCUUGAAAGAUUCCCAUGGUCGAUGCUUAGAGUAGUACUGGCUAUAUAUGUGUUAUUUUUUCUCAUUCAUGUUCUUCAUGUCGAUUAAUUUCGAUUAGGAUAUGUUCACGGGAGGGACCGAGACAACAUCAUCAGCCGCCGAGUGGAUCAUGUCGGAGCUCAUGCGAAACCCGGAGGUGAUCGCGAAGGCGCAGGCCGAGGUGCGACAAACACUCGACAACAAGAACCCACGAGACCAGGAGAGCCUCAUAGAGGGGCUGUGCUACACGAGGAUGGUGGUGAAGGAGGGCUUGAGGCUGCACCCGGUGCUGCCGCUCCUGCUCCCACGUGUCUGCCGGGAGACCUGCGACGUCGGCGGAUUCGAGGUCACGGAGGGCACCAGGGUCAUGGUUAACGCGUGGGCGAUAGCGAGGAGCGCCGAACAUUGGCACGACGCGGAGGAGUUUAGGCCGGAGAGUUCGUGGAUAGCACGGCGACAGACUACACCGGCACGCGGUACGAGUAUUUGCCGUUCGGCAGCGGGAGGAGGAUGUGCCCCGGCGGCAACUUUGCGAUGGCCACGCUGGAGCUCACUGUGGCACGGCUUCUCUACUACUUCGACUGGAGCCUCCCGAACGGGAUUCGACCGGAGGAGCUCGACAUGGACAUGAUCGUCGGCGCAACGGCAAGAAGAAGAAACCAACUGCACCUAAUUGCGGAGCCCUAUAAUGUCCCAAUCGAUCUUUAAAGCCGAUGUUUGUGACAGUUCACUUUCGUUGUUCUGCCAUGUGGGAUGAAUGUCUAUAUAUGUCUUGUUUUUAUGCAAUGUAAUGCACAAAUAAAUAAUUUUGGCAGAUAACAUUGUAUAGAGUAAAAUUCAGUUGUGGUCACUUAAUUGCGCAUUUUGGUCAUCUAACAAAUAAAAUAACGAUCCAACCCGCAAGACUUUGCAUGACCCAUGUAGAUAAACCAAAACAAGGGAAGAGGAUUUAGAGCUCCUGGGUGCUCGACCCCCUAUAUAAACAUUACUGGGUGCAGGGGCGGACCUACUUAGUGCUGAGUGGGUGCCUAGGCCCCACGCAAUUUUUAAAAAUUUCAAAUAGAAAUUGCUUGUAUUCAAAAAGAAAAUUUUGAAAUUCUUUAAAUUUUAUAAUAAAUGUCCUGACUCCAAUGAUUUUCCCCCACUCCACACUAAAAUAUCUCUUCCUACUCUCCCGCUAAAAUAUUUAAUCUCUUUACCAAGCUCAGCGACUCUAACAACUAUUUUCCUAAUUUGCCUAUCAAAAAAGGCUUCCGACUUGCUUUAUAUGUAAAGCAGCACGACCAGAAACAUAUGACUCAAGAAAAAAAGGCCAAACCGAUACAAGGUGAUGAGAAAAUCAUCUUACAAGUUACAGAGAUGUUCUAAUAAAAAUCCUCUUACAAAGCAGAUCAAAUAUAAAAGAAGGGUACACUACUGCUCACACCUCAACAAGAUGAAGUGAGGCUAUUGACUAGAAGAAAACCGGUGCCUCCAUGAGAAACCACCAAACAUGCAUGUAACAGACGCACCAAUUGCAAGUUGUCGUCGGAGAGGACACUCUUUGCUCGUGCUUCAGGUCAUGAAUCGCCAAUUCUACCUGCAGAGGAUGAGGAAUGAGAACUAGCGAUGCCACUGACGUCGCAUGUAAAAUAUAGGAAGCCGUCGGGGAUUGCCCCAUGCCAGAGUCGAAGAUGCAUUGAGAAGGAUCGGAGCUCACCCACCAUGUCAAACGGACGUAACCGGAGGGUGCUGGAGCUCCACGACCCCCCCCCCCCUAGGGUGACGAUGCAACACGCAUCCACGGCACGAUCGAAGGACGGUCAAGGGUUUUCACCUAGGAGCCCUGGCACGGAGAGGGGGACCACGAAAGUGAUCUUUGAUGUUGAGUGACCAUGAAUGAAGGCAAUACUCGCUAAUAUUAACAAGAAAAAUGAAGAAAUCGAUUUUGGUUGCUAAACUUUCAAAAUACGGUAAAUUUGGUCCAUGGUCCUAGUAAAAGCGAUAUAACCGGUGGGUGGUGGUGGUUUUACAGACGUUGCAACCAAUUAGAAUAGAAGAUAGACAAUCAUAAGAAAAAUACCAAAGCUUAAAAGAAUAUGGAAAAUAAGAGGGACAUUUAAAAUCUUGCAUGGAUAAACAUCUAACAAAAUAUUUUCUUAAAUAAAUUAAAAUGGUAUUAAAAAACAAAGAUAUGUUAUUAGAAAGAUGGAUCUUGAGAAAAUUAAUUUUUCGGCGUUGAAACCCAUGAACAAACACCAUAUUUCUUUGUUAGUUUUGCAUUUUCUAUCUCCAAUGUAUGUACUUAUGAUAAUUUUUGGCUUCCUACCUUUUGGCAGUUUACGUUUGGAAAUUACAUGGUUUUCAAUGUUUAUCAUAUAAUAUUUCUUAAAUUUCAAAAUUUUCCAAAUUUCAAAGAAGAUUCUAGGUUUUGAUUGAUAGGUUUUUCUUGAAUGAUUCCACUAUUAAUAAUAUUAUCUAUUGAUUUGUUUUCUUAACCUUUUUUUAUCCGUCUGUUAGCUGGGCUACUAUGUGUGUGAAUCCACUGUCUGCCAUCUCACAUACCGCUUUCACCGAUAAUCAAGGUGAAAAUUUAGUAAUUUCAAAAGUUUUACAUCCUCCAUAUCAGGUAUUUUUGUUAAAUAGCCAACUAUGAAUCACCCAAUAGUGAUUAUGUGGAUCUCUACCCAGGAGAUGGGUCAACUAUUCAAUGGUGGUCGUGACUUCUGAGGCGUGUGCAUGUGGUACACGCUUUGGGUUUGCUGGACUGGAUGUGUUCUUCCGGUACGUCAUGCAGGCGAUAUGGCGAUGACCCCGGUUCUAGAUGGUGGGGGCGUGGCGCAUCCUCCGUUGUCGAGUUUAUAGGUGUGGUAGUGGUAGUUUCGGGUUGUUUGAUGUAUGUUGUUGUCAGACCUUUAUUAAUUUAAUAAGGAUGGUUGUGUGCAUCAAUUGAUGUACCUCAUCGCGCACCGCUACGCAACACGCCGUUGAUGCUAUGGGAUGCGUUAGACCACCGGACAGACCUCCACCAUGUCGAGGAAGGCCGGUGAGGCAGACAACCAUGAUAGCACAACACGAGCUCCACAUAAGAAUUUGCACCACCAGUUGAGGGGAAGAAGGUUUGUCGUCGCCAACCACGUGGGGGCUUUUGGCUUUCCCCGUCUACAUAAGGCAUCGGCGGUGCCGGGUAGGGUGGGGAAAAUGACGCGGGCAUCGUUUUUAAGUGCUUUCAUCGGCCUAGGCAUUGUAAUAUUGGUUUAUAUUUACGAAAUAAAUAGUGCAUUAUACAUCGCAAUUAUAGAUAAUACACGAGUAUUCUACAACAACACGAUGUCAAGGGCAUGUGCAUACAUGAGAACCAACCUGUGAUUGGAAGGUUAGCAAUUAGGAGGCGGUGCUACCCAGCCCAUCAUGGAUCAAAACUCAAAUUUGACGCUUUGGUAACUCAUAAAGGCGAAAUAUUUAUUUGUUGGAAGGCGACGUUUACGUCAAGAGCAAGAAGUCUAUGGUAUUUCGUCAAUCUCAAGACCGGCCAGCUCUUAUAGGGUGAGUGUGGAACACUAAGUCCGUAUCUCACAUUUGCAGGUUUAGGAUUUCUGAGUGAAGACCAUGCCCGUGAUUUCUGAACAUUCGUGAAAACAAUGCCAGGCCAGCAUAUUAGACUACUAGGGUGUCAAUUUAGCACCAAUUAUUGUUACUGAAACAUGGACUAUGAUAUUGGAGCAUGGUGCUCAUGCUGAGCGCCAGAUAUUUGUUUACCAAAAUAUAUUCUGCUGCGUUAGAAGGACGAGCUACAUCGACGUGCGGGGAUCGGCGGAUUAUUCGAGGGGGCUGGUGGGAGAUGCUUGGGACCUGAACUUUGUCCUCCAUGGCGCUGACUGUGGAUGCGCCUUUGUCCACUAACGAAGAUGCGUCUUAAUCAUGUGGUAGACAGCAGUGAGCAGUCCUAUUACUAAAUGUGCGCACGNNNNNNNNNNNNNNNNNNNNNNNNNNNNNNNNNNNNNNNNNNNNNNNNNNNNNNNNNNNNNNNNNNNNNNNNNNNNNNNNNNNNNNNNNNNNNNNNNNNNNNNNNNNNNNNNNNNNNNNNNNNNNNNNNNNNNNNNNNNNNNNNNNNNNNNNNNNNNNNNNNNNNNNNNNNNNNNNNNNNNNNNNNNNNNNNNNNNNNNNNNNNNNNNNNNNNNNNNNNNNNNNNNNNNNNNNNNNNNNNNNNNNNNNNNNNNNNNNNNNCAAACGCAAAUGAUCGGGCCGUCUGUCCGAGUCAUGCACCGUGGUAUGUGCGCAUGCAACUGCCAACAAACUGGCUAGCACAGCGCUACAUUGAUGCGCUUGCAUAGAGAGAAAAACAACACACACAAAAAACCCACUAUAGAACAAGAAAAUAAUUUUCCUUUUCCGUGAAUGAACACAAGAACAACACGGGGAAAUCAGAACGGAUCAUGACUACAAGUAUAGCAUAGACGCUCCUGUUUUUUUUUACCGCACUGCUGUUAUUUGAGUCCGCACCACUAAUUAUCUAUACGUACAGAAGUUUUUCUAAUAGCGGUUGUUAGAGCUUCUUAUAUUAGCGAACCAACCUGUGAACUGUGGUUGGAUGGUUAGAGGGACAGUGGUAUCCCUGCCCACUAGGGUCAAUUUUCGGUGCUCGCAUUAUUCCUGGAUUUAUUUCAGAAUUUCCGGCGAUGCUUUUCAGUGGGAGCAGACGUUCGGGUCGAGGACGAGACGCCUAAGAUGACUUUGUAAAUCUCAAGAUGAUAUGCCGGCUCAGUCUCUCGAAGAUGCUCAUAUGGUAGGGUGUGCGUAUGUGCGUUUAUAGGGGUGAGUGUAUGCAUGCAGGUAUGAGCGCUUGCGUUUCUACUGUGUUAAAAAAAAGCUUCUUAUAUUAGCAUAAUUCCUUUUCCAAAAAAAAAUGAGCAUAAUUGGAAGGGCUAUGGAUCGCAUAUUUCUUGAGCGGGAUAUGUUCUGCUGAUCUCAUAUCAUUUCGUCUUGAUUAUAUCUUACCACUACGUGUCACUUUUUUUGCAGGUUACCACUACGUGUCGUUGACAUCGUAGUGCUUAUAAAAGUGGCUACUCUUGCUUUGCUGUUCUUCCAAGCAAAUUAAGCUGCGACUUAAACCGAACCAUCCUGAUGGAGCUAAGCACAGCCACUCUCCUGUCUAUCUCUGUCGCCUCACUGGCGAUUCUUGUGUCGUUGCUUAGCCGCAAAUCGGCACCAAGCUCCAAGAAGAGGCGGCCUCCUGGUCCACGGUGUCUCCCCUUCAUCGGAAGCCUCCUCCACCACCUUACCUCGGAGCCGCAGGUCGCUCUCCGGGACCUGGCGAAGAAGCACGGACCGGUGAUGUACCUGCGGCUGGGCCACGUCGACACCGUCGUGAUCUCCUCCCCGGCGGCGGCACAGGAGGUGCUCCGGGAC